This 2311-nucleotide ribosomal RNA is filed under the name Nitrospirota bacterium. RNAcentral describes it as "partial 23S ribosomal RNA". It matches the Rfam family "Bacterial large subunit ribosomal RNA", at positions 1 to 2226 of the family's 2925-position model. Lineage: Bacteria; Pseudomonadati; Nitrospirota. The record is from RNAcentral.
UGUUAAGCUACUAAGGGUGUACGGUGAAUGCCCUGGCAUCAGAAGGCGACGAAGGGCGUAGCUAGCUGCGAUAAGCCUCGGGGAGCCGCAAGCAGGCCGUGAUCCGAGGAUGCCCGAAUGGGGAAACCCAGGCGAUGAAUGCCGCCUAUCCGCUGCUGAAUACAUAGGCAGCGCGAAGCCCACGCAGGGAAGUGAAACAUCUCAGUACCUGCAGGAAAAGAAAGCAAAUGCGAUUCCCCCAGUAGUGGCGAGCGAAAAGGGAAUAGCCCAAACCUCAUCUAUGUCAAGCCCGUGUGCGUUGUAGAUGGGGGGUUGAAGGCCUUUGUCGGACGGUGAUACGGCGCCGUCGACGAGUUACAAAUCAGGAUCUUAGCUGAACGGUCUGGAAAGUCCGGCCAAAGCGGGUGACAGCCCCGUAAGCGAAAAGACCCUGGCUCGUUGGAUAGAGGUCCUGAGUACCACGGGGCCCGAGAAACCUUGUGGGAAUCCGGGACGACCACGUUCCAAGGCUAAAUACUCACUGAUGACCGAUAGCGCACCAGUACCGUGAGGGAAAGGUGAAAAGAACCCCGGUGAGGGGAGUGAAAUAGAACCUGAAACCGUACACCUACAAGCAGCGAAAGGGCUAUGGUCCGCAAGGACAAUGCCUAAUCGUGUGCCUUUUGCUUAAUGAGCCGGCGAGUUAUUCGGCGCAGCAAGGUUAAGCCGGAAAGGCGGAGCCGUAGCGAAAGCGAGUCCGAAUUGGGCGAUGAGUUGCGUCGAAUAGACCCGAAGCGAGGUGAUCUACCCAUGGCCAGGGUGAAUCCGUCGUAACAGACGGAGGAGGCCCGAACCGGUGUUUGUUGCAAAAAGCUCGGAUGAGCUGUGGGUAGGGGUGAAAGGCUAAUCAAACCUCGUUAUUGCUGGUUCUCCCCGAAAUAGCUAGAGGGCUAGCCUCGUGUCAGCCGUGGCGGAGGUAGAGCACUGAAUGAGCUAGGGGCGUUCCAACGCUACCGAACUCAAUCAAACUCCGAAUGCCGCCACUGGACGCACGGGAGUCAGACUACGAGCGCUAAGGUCCGUGGUCAAAAGGAGAAUAGUCCAGACCGCCAGCUAAGGUCCCGAAUCGUGAGCUAAGUGGGAAAGGUUGUAGGGUCGCUCAGACAGCCAGGAGGUUGGCUUAGAAGCAGCCAUCCUUUAAAGAGUGCGUAACAGCUCACUGGUCGAGCGAACCUGCGCCGAAAAUUUAACGGGGCUUAAGUUCACAACCGAAGCUGCGGACUUGCAUCGCAAGAUGCGAGUGGUAGGGGAGCAUUCUCUGUGCGGUGAAGGUCGACCGACAAGGACGGCUGGAGCGCAGAGAAGAGAUUAUGCCGGCAUAAGUAGCGAUAAACGAUGUGAGAAUCAUCGUCCCCGAAAACCUAAGGUUUCCUGGCCUAUGUUCGUCAGGUCAGGGUUAGUCGGUCCCUAAGCCGAGGCCGAAAGGCGUAGGCGAUGGAAAACAGGUUAAUAGUCCUGUACCGCCGUUUGCACGUUAUCAGCGAAGGGGGGACGCAGGAGGGUAGGCACCGCCGGGUCCCUGGAAUACCCGGUCCAAGCAGGUAGGUGGGAUUCGUUGGCAAAUCCGCGAGUCCAUUUAAACACCGAGAUGUGAUGGGGAGGCCGCAAGGCCACAAACGGGCUGAUCCCACACUGCCGAGAAAAGCCUCGUAGCGAGUUGAUAUGGUGACCGUACCGCAAACCGACACAGGUAGGUAGGUGGAAUACACCAAGGGGCGUGAGAGAACACUCCCUAAGGAACUAUGCAAUCUAACCCCGUAACUUCGGAAGAAGGGGUGCCUCGCGUACGUAAGGAGAUUUACUCUCCAAGCCGAACGAGGUUGCAAUAAAGUGGCUCUAGCGACUGUUUACCAAAAACACAGGACUCUGCGAACACGCAAGUGGACGUAUAGGGUCUGACGCCUGCCCGGUGCUGGAAGGUUAACCGGAGGGGUUAGCCGCAAGGCAAAGCUUCGAAGGGAAGCCCCAGUAAACGGCGGCCGUAACUAUAACGGUCCUAAGGUAGCGAAAUUCCUUGUCGGGUAAGUUCCGACCUGCAUGAAUGGCGUAACGACUGGAGCGCUGUCUCGGGGAGUGACUCAGCGAAUUUGUUGUUCCGGUGAAGAAGCCGGGUACCCGCAACUAGACGGAAAGACCCUGUGCACCUUUACUACAACUUGCCAUUGGAUGUUGGAAGGGUCUGUGUAGGAUAGGUGGGAGGCUGUGAAAUCGGGCCGCAAGGUCCGGUGGAGCCAACGUUGAAAUACCACCCUGAUUGUUCUGACAUUCUAAC